Molecule: non-coding RNA, 24091 nt
Organism: Rattus norvegicus (Norway rat)
Lineage: Eukaryota; Metazoa; Chordata; Mammalia; Rodentia; Muridae
Source: RefSeq, a predicted model, not a curated record
GAUGUGCGGUGGGAUAUUGGAAUUUCCUGCAGCUAUCUUUAGAGUCAUUCAGUGCCCGAUUUCUCUGUUUGGAAAUUUAUUUCUGCAUCUGUAGCCAUUGAUAUAUCACUUUCCAUCACUUUUACACAGCCAUCCAUCUUGGAUUUAUCUGUAAGAAAGGUGAUUCAUCUUAAAAUUCAAUAUCUAACAGAGACUGGAGGCUUGAUAUUUCUCAUACUCCCUUCAUAACCUGCUAUGUUAAUAGUUGCUAUUUAAUUACUUCUCUCAGUGACCCUACAGAACUUUGAAAAUUUAGAGCUAAAAUAUGUAUUAAGAAAGAUCACAUUUAGGAAUGGUUCAUUUCCUUGCAGAUUUAUUUCAUACAAUAUAUUAUGAUUUGAUAUUCUCCUUCCCACCCCUGCUAGAUACUCUGUGAUAAUCCAUCCUCCCAAAUCAUUUCUAUUUCUUUCUCUGUCUUUAUUUAGAAGAUAAACAGAUGUAUGAUACCACCACCACUACUACUUCACAAGAAUAGGAUAAAAUAAGUAAAAAAAAAAACAAGGAAAAAUAGGGUAAAAGUACAGGAUACUUAGGUGUGAGACACACAUGGUCACACUCAUAGAAAUUACAUUAACACACAGAAGAAGCAAACUUAAUAUAUAAGCAAGGAAACUGUCAGGUCAAAAAAAAGGCCCUGACAUUGUGUUAUGAGACAAAAUUCCUCUAAAUAUGAAAUUGUGUGUUUUCUGUGGGAGCAAUCCAUCUCCAGUUAAGUCCUAUCCUUUUGAGGAAUUCUUAUAUGCAGUGAGACUCCACUGGAGAAAAAGAAAUUUUAAUGUUCUUAGUUAUCAAUUUGAGAGAGCUUUGGAUUUGCCGAUGAUGUCUUUUGCUGGGAUUCUCUUACCUGAUACCCAGUGUCCAUUCUUAGGGAUUGACGACUUCCAACAGUAACAUCCUCCUUUAUUUCCAUCCUGUUACCAUCAAUAAGUUUCACAGAGUAUGUUUGCCAGACCAGGCGUAUAUAUCAACUGUUUUGUGGCAAAUAUAUUUGCUUAUUUUUCCUCUUCUGGAUCUGCUAUUAUUUGAGAUCUGAUGAAGGAAAGAAACAAACCAUAUCCCCAUAGAAAUAACCUUCCUUCCACAGUGUAAUUUCUCUUUUAUAUUUUUGUUGAUUCUUGAGAUUAUGAUUUUAUUAUAUCUUGUAGCAUUUUCUUUCUCUACACAUCCUUCCAUAUACCCAUUUACACUCUCUUUUAUAUUUAUGUCUUCCCUAUUUUCUAUUUUGUAUCACAUGUAUAUUCAUACAUAUAUAUUUCACAUAUAUACAUUUCAGUCUGUAGAAUAUUAAGUAUAUGCUUUUUUCAGGGCUGAUUAGUGGAUUUGUAACCUUUACUUAGUAUAUAGUGUGUGCUUGUCACCAUCUGUUUCUACCAGUCACUUCAGUAAGCUGUCAUAUAUGUUAAUGUAGUUAAAUUAUAUUGCGUGUCUUUUUAAAUUGUAAACCAUUUUCAAUCAUAUUUAGUAUGUUUGUUAUGUCUACUAUAUUCCCUGUCACUGGCCCUCAAACUUUGUGAUGCUGCAACCAUUUAAGGCAUUUUUUUAUGUUAUGGUUACCACUAACAAUUCAGUAGCUUCAUUGCUACUUUAAAACUGUAGAUUUGCUACUAGACCUAUGUGCAACACAUCCCAUGAUAGAGAGCCAAUCCCUGACACUAUUAAUGGCACUCUGCUAUGUUUGCAGACAGAAGCCUAGCAUAACUGUUCACUGAGAAUCUUCACUUAGCAGUUGAUGAAAACAAAUGCAAAGAUCUACAGCAUUAUAUAUGGUAGAGCUUGUGAGUCUUGCAAAAGAGUAGGGGGAAGGAUUUAGAGAGCCAGUGGGGCCAAAACCCAUAGGAGCUUCCCAUUCUCUGUUGAGUGUUGUGGGAUUUGUGUGCAUGGGACUUGGAGGAGAGUUUGGACGGGGGCUGAAAUCAGGAUUGAAGGUUAAUAUAUAAAUUAUUGACCAAAAGAGAAUAAAAUUUAGUUACAUUUCUUCCCGUUAUUGGCCUACACACCUUUCCACAUACCAAUUCUCACACUCCUUUUUUAGUCUCUUUUUUACUAAAUGAUAUCGAAUAUAUCUAACUACAUAUAUAUUCUUACAUAGGAACUGUUCAUGGCUUGUUGUUUCUUUCGAGGCUGAUGAUUUAAACAUGUCAUUUUUACUUAGUAUAUAGUGUCUGCUUUUCUACAUCUCUUUCUACCAUUCAUCACAGUACUGAGUGUCCCUUUGGAACUGUAAACCAUUUUCAUUGAGUUUAUUACAUAUCAUUUUGUGACUAUUAUAUAUAUUGUCCGUGAUUCUUAUACUUCCUAAUGCUGCAAGGCUUUCAUAAAUUUCCACAUAUUGUUUUGACCCUCAACCUUAAAAUUACUUCACUGCUUCUAUAUUAUUGUAAUGUUGCUACUGUUAUGAAUUGUAAAUUAAAUAUCUCUGUUUUCUAAUAUUCUCAGGUGAUCCCCAUAAAAAUUUCCUUCAACACAAAUGGGUCUAAAACCACAAGUUUAGGACCACUUCCUCAUGUAAAUUGUUCCCUGAAAAGUCUCAUUCUUGGACAAUAUUUUGAGAGGAUAAGAAUUAAUCAUUAGGAGUUAUGGUCAAGAAACAUGCCUUGGAGACAAUUAACAAAGCAUGUACAACAACAGAAGUAUUUCAUAACUUAGAAAUCUCAGCAGAGUAAAUUAUCAUGCUGCAAAGUUAAUGGAAUAAUGGAUUAAUAACACAGCCUGAAAAAGCUGAAGUUAUAACUAGGUAAAAAUUCUCAUAGACCUGAUAAUUAAAUAAAUAGGAAGAGAGAGGAGGGGUACCGGCGGUUACUUCCCCCUUUUAUGGUACACAACAUCUUUCCCAAAUCCUUUUCAAUCUUCAUCAGAUUGGGGAAACAAACAUGUUUCCAGGAAGUCUCAUGGUAACUUACUAAGUGUUGCUGUUCCUAUCUCCAUAAGCAGUAUAAAUUGGAGGUUCACUGCAUGAACUCCAAUAUUGAUCUGUCUUAUUAUUAGGAGCUUUAUACUAGGGAUGUGUUCCAAGAUCAGGGUGUCUGAAUGGACUGGUUUGAGGAAGAUGAAGGAAACAGAGCCCUAAGGAUAUAGUCUAGCAUGUUAUGAUCUCGUUUGUAACAAAGUUAACCACGAUACCCAAGUAGAUUCAGGUAUAUUGCACAAUUUUAAGAAUUCACUAUAUUUCAGAUAGUGAUUACAAUCUCUAACAUUUUAAUAAUCAAUGACCAGAUUAUUUUUAACUGAAUCCAUUUUAAUUUAAUAUAAAUUUAAAUUUAAAUCUAAACUUACAUUAAUAUUUUGUUAUCUUAUAAUUGUACAAUGCUAAUCUCUGAUAACUGCUUUUGUGAAAUGGGAAAUCAAUGGGAAUAUUUGGUUACACUAAUAAUUAUAUAAUUUUUAUUGACCAAGACUGAAAAGUAGCCCUAGUGGUGUCUGAAUGUAAUUAUUCUUAUACACACAAAUAUGCGAGCCAUUAAAAGCCCAUCAGCUCCUACAGAUUCACCAUGGUGACCAUAUUUUGUUAAUAUCCCAUUAUAUAUUACAAGUGCAAUCAUUAAAAAUUUCAUGUAGGAAUUAUUACUAUUUUGUGAUUUAAUAUAAUUUAAUAUUUAAGAUUUUCAUUCAUUUAUCUAAUAGAAAUUUAUCAUACAUACCAUUACUCCACUAAUCUCAAUUCCAAUUUCAUGUUCUCCUUCUAUAAUAAUUCAUCGUUUAUAAUCAUUGAUUUUAACUAGAAUGUAUGCAUGAGGUAAAUAAAAACAAGAGAUUAUUCAACAUUUUCAGCAAUGAAAUAGAAUGUAGAGACACUAGGUUUGAAAGAAAACGUAAGCACUGAGAAAAUAGAAUGAUUUCUCAUAUAUUAUACAUCAUAUAUAUAUUCUCAUAUAUCAUAAUACCCUAAUUAUAGUUCUGUUCUCUUAUUCCUCCUAUAUAUACCAGAGUAUAUACUGUAUAUCAAUAUUAUAUCAUACUUUUCAUUGUGAAUAAAAGAGAGAUGUAUUUGAAUCUUCAAUCAUGUAUCUCAGACAAACCGAGGUUUGUAAGAGGGAAAUUAUUACAGAUUAUACUGCAUGUGUAGGAAAAUCAUGGGGUAAAUACAGGAAAAGUAUACCUGACAACUUGUCUUCUAGAGAAAUGUCUAGUCAUCAAUUAAGAGCCUCUAAUACACUGUGAGUACACAUUGAAUCCUAUAAGCUCCCCUCCAAUUAAAGCUACUAGUUUAAUAUGCUUGGCUAUGGCGCAUCUCCAGCAUAUUUAUAAUCAGUUAGAAAGUUAGGUCCUAACUUCUACAGCUAUGAAAUUUAACAUUACUGACUUCUGCAAUCAUAACAUCAUGGAUGUAGGUGUAGGAUAAAUGGUGGGGUCCUGAGUCCAUCCUGCCACAGGGUUCUGUCUGCUCCGUAAGGCAGGGCACGAGAAGUUUGACCUUGCUUACUCCACGCAGACUCUGGGCAAAUGCUCCGGGGUGGGGACGCAAGGUCUGAUCACAGGGCACAGCCGGGGCUGACUUGGAAGUCCCCUUGCUUGUAAGGAGGCCUGGGCCAUCUGGUUCUCAGGUUCUUCACCAUCCAGACGCUGCUGAGAUUCUGCAGAAGAGCUGAGAAUGGAGUUGAGGUGAGGGGCUGGAUCUAGCACAGCACUGAAUGAAAAAGAGGAGAGGAUGCUCUGGCUGGUUCUGCCUGGAGAAUCUUUUCGUAGGUUAGCCCUGGUAAGGACUAAGAUUUGCAAAAUGUUGACACUUAAGGAAAGAUGCUAUCAGGAUGUUUACCUAGAGUUGUUAUUUGUAGUUUUCAGUUCAAUACAGCAUGGUGAUAACAUUUGAAAUGUAAGUAAGAAAUACAGAUGGAAAAAAAUUGAUAAAGAUGGAAAAAAGGAAGUAUUAGCUCUAAAAAAAGAAAUAGAUGAAGUAUAAAACUGAAUGACAUCAGAGAGGUUAUACCAUUUUGAUGUAGAAAAUUUUAAACAAGAGGUUAUUGGAAAACUGAAUGAUUUUAAGAACUUUGGCAGUUGCCUGUGCAAUGUGUGGCUUGGUCAUCCAUCAGUGUUUUCUGUGAUUCUUUAUUUAUACUACAUGUCUGAGGCUCACAGGGAAACAGCACAGACAGUUUUAUAUUUUCCAAUAUUUCAGUCCACUAUUAAGACAAAUAAAAUGAAAACAUGAGUAGGAGCUCAUAUUAAAACCUCAGGGACAUAGUUUAAGAAGAUUGGAAGUUGUAUGUAUGUUUGUAUAAAUUGAGCAGCCCUUGUGGUUCAUUAAUAAAAUUGAGUGUGUUAAUUUUUCUUUUUAUAUAAAAAUUUUCAGGGCGGAGGAGUUUGUUCCUUUAGGAAAAUUCUGGACAUGCAGUUAUAAGGAACUGAUAUUUGUAUAUAAUAUAUAUAUAUAUAUAAAUAUCAAGGCAUACUAGUAUAGGAAGUACCCUCAGUAAAUGAGGGGAAUUCAUGGAAAGGUAUCUGAGUUUUGUUGGCCAAGUGAUGUAGCUUAAGGUUGAGCAGUGCUCACCUGAAAGGAGGACUGGAGGUGAAAAGUGCAGGGGGCACGAGAAAAAGGGAGCCAAGACAGUGUUCUGAUCAAGUCUCAAAUUUUAAUAUUCAACACAGAUUAUAUAAAGUGAGAGACCACAAAGCCCAUCCCUAGAACAGUAACAUGGUUGUAGUAACAGUACUGCAUUAAACCUAAGUUUCUAUAUCUUUGCAGUUAGUAAACCCGAACCAAGACUGCAGCUUGUCAACUCUGACCCAAAUAAAGGCUGCUUCUUGUUAUCUCCUUGCACAUCAUGGCUGCAGUUUGUUAACUCUGGCACAUCAAGGCCACAGUUUGUUAACUCUGGAGCCUUAAAUAUUACAGCUCCAGUCAAGGCAGAUGUUUCUGCUCAGGUUGAUAAGGUGUAUUAAUACAGGUUUGCUUCUGCCUGUAGUGGGUGUUUUCACAGUUUCCCUAGCCUGCCAGGCUGAGGAGGUCACAAGCUGAACUCAAUAUCUUGGUAAAUUUUAGUUCAUUGAGAACACUUUAUCACCUAAUCUAGUGUUAUUAGGCAUUUGUAUUUUACCAGUAUUUAAAGUAUUUCGUGAGCAUGACAAAACUUGUGAACAUGAAUUCCCAUUUACAUGUGCUUGACUUCUGCCAGACUAAGCCAUCCAAUAUUCCUCAAUGGCUGGGGGCAGAACUCAUGAAGUUGAAUUCCUAUCCAAGCUAUUGAAAUGGUGCUUGAUUUGAGAGAAUGAAGUUCCUUUAGUAAUAUUUGCCCUGAUAAGUUACACAUUCUUAUGUAGAAUGUCAGUUAUUUAAGCAUAUAGAGUCAGCACUAAAUUGUUUCAUUUGGUGCAAAGAAGGAAGAAUGAUCGCAUGGAGCUCAGAUACAAUAGUGCUACAAGGGAUAGGGGAGAAUUUAAAAAAAACAUAUAUAUUAACUAUUUAUUUAUUUAUUUAUUUAUUUAUUUAUUUAUUUAUUUAUUUUUACCUCCCAAUAGUAGUUCCCCUUCUCUUGGUCUCCUAGAAAAACACGGCCCCUCCACUCUCCUCCUUCCUUCUCCCCAGAGAGGGAGGACACCCCUGGGUAUGAUCAUUGUCACUGCAGGACUAGGGCCAUCUCCUUCCAAAGGGAAUGGACUAGGCAGCCUCAUUACAGGAAGAGGAUUCACAGGCAGGCAAAAGUGUCAGGGAUAUCCUCUGCUCCAGUUUUUGGGGAAGACACACACACACACACACACAAACACACACACACACACACACACACACACACUCACACACACCCACACCACACAAAUACCCGUGGCCCAGGUUAGUUGACCCUAUUGAUCUGGGGGAAUCCCUGUCCUGUCCAGGUUCCUCAAUAUUCCUACAAUUCUUCCACAAGACUUCCCAAGUAUCAUCUGAUUUUUGGCUAUGGGUUUCUGCAUCUAUUUUGGUCAGAUGAUAGGGGGAGAAUAUCCUUGUUUUUAAUAGCUGAGUUAUAUUCCAUGGUGAAAAAUAACCACGUUUUUUUACUUAUUCUUCAGUUAAGGGACAUGUGAAUUGUUUUUAGUUUCUGGCAAUUAUGAAUAAAGCUGCUAUGAACAUAGGAGAACAUGGUAUGGUUUGAGGAUUUUCAGGAUAUAUGACCAGAAUUAGUAUAGAUGGUUAUUGAGUUAGAACUAUUUACAAUAUACUGAAAAACAGCAAGCUUUAUUUGUAUAGUACAGUUCUUUGAAUGUUACCAUGAAUUUUGUAAGUUCAUAUGUGUGUUUUUACUUGGAUGGGAGGACUAUUUGGGAACUCAGAAGCCAGAAACCAUACAGCUAUGAAAGGAAAAGAUAUCCCAAUGGAAAGAAAACCUGAUAUAUGGGGGCCCAGGAAACACAUAGCUUUGAGUUGGGACAGGUUCCAGUAUAAGUGAAUCCUGAGAUUCAUGAGCUCAGAAAACUUAGAACUCUGAGGUAGGACAAUGUCUCAGUGCUAGGGCCUCUUGAGAUACAGGAGUCCAAAAAUGACACAUCCCUGAGAGGAAGCCUUCUGAGCAGAGGCUUUACAGCUUCUAGAGUAGAGUAUCUCCAAUUGAGCUGAGGAGCUCUGGGGCCUCAGCCACACUACUUUUCUUUUCUUUUUUCUCUUCAUUGAUUUUUCUUCUUGACUUCGGCCAACAAAAAUGAUACUAGGCAGGAAGUCUCAUGAAACAGAUUUAUUGGUGAGUCCAGGAUAUUGAGGAACCAGUCCAGGGAUAAUAUCCUCUGCUCCUGUGAGUGGGCAUCAGGGAAUUUGGUAAAGAACAGUGCUUAUAUCAGAUUUCUUAAGAGGUGGCACUUUUCAGAGCAGAGAUUUCCAUGGAGGCUCAAUACAGAUCUCCAGUUUAAAGAGGUACGUAAAGGCCUAAAGAGCUUAGACAAUGAGUCUUUCUUCCCAGACAUGCCUCCAUGUAAAAGAUAUUUAACCUCAUAACAACCCUGAGAAGUGGGGUAUGAUUGUAUUCAUCCACUUUCUGCCAUGACAAUAAAUGUCAUAAAACCCUGGACUGCCUAUUUUCAUCAGUAUCCACCAUGGGUAGUCAUGGAAAGAGCCUUUGCAUAUAGGGCCACUGUCUAAUCUCCUGUAGAAGGCCUCUCUGCUCCUAGAUACAGAUGCCAUCAAGCUCAAGCCUGCAACCACAGACAGUCCUCAGACUCUUCACUGGACCAGUUGGAGCUCCUCCUUUUCCCCCACCCCUGGCCCUUGCCAGAUCCAGACCCAGGCUCCAACUCCAUUCUCAGCUGGUCCAUGACAUCCCACUGUGCCUGGAUGUCUGAGAGCCUGGGAACCAAAUGGCCCUUGCCUCCUUGCAGGUGUGGGGACUCCCGAGGCAGUUCCUGCUGCCUCUUGCCUCAGACUGAGUUUUCUCACCCCUCAAAUGUUUACUCCAGGCUUCAGUACAGCCUGACACCAUCUACUUGACAACAUGGGGUAAGCAGGGUCACUUCCUGCCUCCCUGAGCAGCUGUGUCCUUUGGCAGGACAGGGGACUUUAACAACCCUAUAGGUUUUGGUGUUUUGUUUUUCAGGGAUGGGUUUCUGGCUCACUUGUUCAGAGAUUUUGUGUUUGGGGUGUGAGGGGAAUUCAGGGCUUGGUAAGAUUUCAUGUUCAAGGAUUAGUAGAUUUUUUUUCACUCAUUUAUUCUGUCAUUGGGCCUUAGGUUAUGGUAGGAAAUCCUCCCUGCCUGCAGCUAGCUUUUGUUGAAGCACCAUCUCUGUGCAACUACUUGUUGGGGGAAGAGUGGCUAGAGAUUUGGUCCUACCAUUGUGGAUAGCUUUUCUGAGACAAAUCUUGCAGUGGUGUUUCACAAAAGCCAGGAAAGAGUUAGCAUCAUGGACAACGCCUCAAUGGCAGUAGGCUGAGGUAGGAUAGGUGUCCCCACUGUGGACAGAUCCUGAGGAGCAGCCAUAUCUGAAGCACGAAGGUGAUAUGCUACCAUGCAUAGCUUCUGAGACAGCUGCAGGCUGAAAAGAUGUCAGGAUGCCAUUAUUCUGACAGCUCCUGAUGAUCCUUCUCACUGCAGCAGAAGGCUAGGGCAGAAACGAGGGGCUUGGUCGAUUUUGUGGCUUGUCACUUAGGAAGUACACCAGAGCCUUGAUAGUGUGGUGUGCUGCUCAGGGACUGGGACAUGUAUGUCAGUCUCCUUUCUGGAAGUCAUUCUAUUGUUUAUGUUUUCUAUCCUCAUUGGAUCUUAAUUUUUUCUCUAAAAUACCUCUUAAACUGUAUACCAUGCUAAUUGGAAAUAUUGCUUUAUUGGGGUUAUAACCCAUCAUACCUUUAUUUAAUACAAUGAAUAUAUAGAAGAGCUCUCUAACAGAAAUAAAGGUCUGAUUAAUGUCAUAACUCGUGAACAUAACCAUAAUAUCUGGAAAUCUGAAAACUGCAUAAAUAGCAGUAUGUUCUACUUGGAAGCCCAUAGUUACAAUCAAAAGGGCACAGACAGAAAAGGAGGCUUUCUUGUUAAUAGCCAGGGUUAAGGCCAUGACGUCAGGUACAUGCUAAGCCCCAGGUACCACAAGCUGUUUUUGUCUGUUGUUAAUUGUAUCCAGAGCCCAAGGUAAAGUCCAUUUCUUCUUACUGUAUCUCUUAACUUUCUUUAAUUGUGCUAGAGCUAUAGUAAGUAAGAAUAUCAGACUGAAACUACACAUCUAAUGAAGAUCUCUAGGUUUGGACUUUUUAUUUCCUUUCUUCGGAUUGUCCUCCUCCUCCUCCUCCUCCUCCUCCUCCUCCUCUUCCUCUUCUUCCUUCUCCUCCUCUCCUCCUCUUCCUCCUCUUCUUACUUCUUCCUUCUCUAUCCUCUGUCUAUCUCUCUCCUGAUUGGUACCUAAUCCAUUCUUUUAUUUUUCAUUCACACAUGAAGACAAACAGAAAGAACCAAAACAAAUAUGAAUUCAUAAUCAAUGAAUCUUUUGGCCUGUAGUCUGAAGUGCAGUUCUCAGCUAGUUUGAGGAUCUAGUAAACAGUUUGAAUACAAUGUGUUCCUAAGAGAAGAAAGACUGCUUCUGACAUCUGAAUUUGUUUAAGAUCCAAUGGAAAUAUAGGAUUAACAAGAUACUUCUGGAUUCUUCCUGUUGAAAUAAAAAAUAAAAAAGGUGGGAGUGAGCAGAACUGGUUCCUGUGUACCCUGGUAGUCAUGCUAUCUUGCUAGUUCUGUCUCCAGCAGGCCAUUUGAACUAACACUAAUUUAUCUCAGUGACUCCAAACUACCUCCAUCUACUUUCUGACCCCCUGUUCGUGAGCACCAACGCAGCACCCUGUCAGGCAUCUCUGUCCUCACUCACAGCUCUCUUGGCUGGUUUCUACCAUGCCAGGCAUACACAUCCCAAUUCCAUGGAGGGCCCAGUGCUUCUGGCACCAUAUACUCUCUUGAACUCAAUUAAAUCACCACAUGAAAUAACAUAUCCCACAAUAUCCUCUGAUCCAAUUGAUAAGAUACAUUUUGCCCAUCUAGACAAUGUAAAAUUCUGUACACAUCUAUGCCUUAAGAAUAGACAUAACAAUCUUUAAUUUGGGCAGGAAUCCACCAACACCUUCUCUCAGUUCCCUCAUCCUCACUCUGGACUCCUCUGCCUCUCUUAAAAAUUUCUACCUCCCAUCCUUCCUUCUUGUCCAACAACAGGUCUCAUUCUAUCCUGUACCUGCCUUCAGAUGCCUAAUGACAUCAACUUACAUCUCCCUUGUUUUUGUGAGAGUGGUUUUUAUCUGUAUCAUCUUCUGGAACUUUGGCCUUAUAUGUGGCUACUGCCUCUGUUUCAGGCAUGUCACUCACAACUCUGCCUUAGUAAAAUGAGAUAAACAUGGCUUAUUUUAUAGUUUCACUUUAACCUGAAACUGACUGAAACAGGAGAACGUUAUCUCUUAUACUCCCUUCCUUGACACACUCUGUGUAGAAUUGCUAUGUGAAGAACAGUUUCCUGCUGUGACACUGAGAAUCUCUGAAUGUUCAGGGCUUUGCCACCUAAGAGCAAAAACUCACAUUGGCAUGCUCAUUUUCCCAGCCUUCGGCUAUUAAGAGACUCAGAUGUUCUUUCUAUAUUCCAAUCUGAAUUCCACUGUCAUAUAUAAGUUGAUACUGCUAUGUGACAAAUAUUACUCUUUUCUAUUUUCUAUCCUCUCUUUUCCUCUCCUCUCCUCUCCUCGCCUCCCCUCUCCUCUUCUCUCCUUUUCUCCCCUCUACUUGACCAUUCCAUUUUUGAGGAAAGCCUCAACUUUCCUCAAAGCCUUGUGCAUACGACCAUAGAAGUAAAUUUACUCAGUGAAUUUUUUUUUCUGUCUGUUUGAUUUUACUUUCCACUUAGUUAUUAUCGUGAAUUCAUCAGCUCCAUCUUUCAACAAUUUCUACAGUUUGCUAGUUUAGUUACAUCCUUUGUCUGAGUCAUUCUUUGGAAGGCCAAACCAUUUUGCAAUCAUUUUUACCAUAGAUCUCCUUGCAGCUAUUGUGUUUCAUAUGUUGCUUGUAUUUCAUGCAAAUUUCCUUUUUUGGUGGAGAAUUUUGAGAAGGCAAGAAAUCAGGGGCAGAGGACAUGGCAAAGUGUGGAAUAGUAGAGGCUCAAGAAAAGAGUCACAUGUAACAAUAGAGGAAAUUUAACAUAGAGAGAUCUCAGAGGAAAAUUAUACACCUUAAACUUACGGAAUCAUGGAAUCUCAUAGCAUUAUUUUCAAAAGUAGGUAUGGUGAGAUAGGUAUCCAUGUACUGAUGAUAUUUAUAUAGCAUGCACUGAGAAAGGAUGUAAAGUACUUACAAGAGGGUUUCAUACUUUUAUCUGUCAAAAGAAGUAAUGAAAAUGAACAAGUACCAACUCUCAAUGAAGAUCCAUUCUAAGACCCACAAUAAAACUUAAAGGACAAUGAAUUAGGUACAGACUAAACCAGUUUGCAAUCACACAAGCAAUUGAUAAGUGGUCUUUCUCUGCAUUCUCACCAACAUGUGUUAUCACCUAAAUUUUUGAUUUUAGCCAUUCUGAUUAAUGUAAGGUGGAAUCUCACAGUAGUUUUGAUUUGAAUUUACUAAGCACUUAAACAUUUCCUUACGUGCUUCUUGCCCAUUCAAGACUUAAUAAUUAAUUGUUGAAAGCUGUGAGUUUGAUGUCAAAGUAUCAGAUCAUCUUCUUCAGUUAGAAAACAUCAGUGAUUACAGUAUUUACCACGGGAUUACCUUUUGCUAAAAGUAAGAAUUAAAAACCAUGGAAAGGGGGAUGCUCAAUUGAUCUUUGAAGCAGGUCCUGUAUUAUUUGCGUUGUAGGUAAAGUUUACCCUGUUUAUAUGCUCCUGAUAUGUCAUGAUGGGAGCUAUCGGAGGCAGAGAAAUGGCUACUUGUCUCUCAGUAGUUUAUGAAUUAAGGAUGUCAGUGCAGAAUUUAAGAUUCUCCACUGAGCAAGACUAUCAUUUGUUCUGUCAUGUAAUAUAUGAGGAAUUAUCUGUUUUCCCUAAAGAGAAGGAGGAGGAUUUUCUGGUUUUUCCUACAAAGCUGAAUCUGAUCUGGCCCUGGAGAGAGGAGCAACAGACAUCUAAUAGUUCUUUUUUACUCAUUAAUACUUGCCCUGCAUUUAACUUACACAUAUGCUAAUUAUUCUGGUGAGGUGGUGCCAUAUCCAACAGAAAGGUUUUCAGUUUGACUAAGCUUAGACCAGGGACUGGCCCCAAUAGGACAUUUAUGCUUGUUAGAAGAAGUGUGCCACUGUGGAUGUGGGCUUUGAAAUCCUUCACCUAUCUGUUUAUGAGACAAUCUUCUCUUUUCUGCCUUUACAACAAGAGGUAGACCUUUCAGCUUUUCGAGUACCCUGCCUGCUUAGAUGGUAUCACGUCUUCCUGCCAUGAUGAUAGUGGACUAAAUGAAUGUGUAAACUAGCUCCAAAUAAAUGUUGUCCAUUCUCAGAGUUGCCUUGGUCAUGGUGCUUCUUAAUAGCAAUGGCAACGCUAAACAAGACAGGAGUCCUGCUGUGGAAUUGUAUUUGUAAAAUACAAUUAAAAUCAUAACAUAUCUUACAUCUAUUUACAUAGUUAUCUCAUAUUUACUUAUUUACUUAUUUUACUUACUUGAAUUAUCCUAAGAAAGAGUUUAUGCAAAUGAUAUAUAAUGUGAAUUGUAUAUAUUGCAAAUUAUAUAUUUUAUAUAUAAUAUAUAAUAUAUAUGAAGAAUAUCAGUACGUAGUUGUUUAAUUUAAUAAUAAUUUAUUUUCUUAAAAGAUUUAAUCUAAUAUUGUCCAUGCAUGGAAUUUUAGUUUAAAAACCAAGACCUCUAUGGUCUUACAGGUCAACAGGUCAACAGAACAAAAUGUUUAUUUUGCAGCAAGAAUUUCAAAAUAAGACUUCCAUUUUUAAAAACAUAACCUAAUUGAUGAGGGUGGCUAUCAGCGAGUUAAAUAGCUGUAAUUCUAUUUAACCAUUUUAUUAUAUGUAUUGUUUAUGUUUUGGUUAAAAACAUAAAUAAUUCAAAAGAAAGAACAGCAAACAAACUUACAAUUAUUGUAUUAAAAAUUUUAUAGAGGAAUUGUCAAGCAGUAUCAGGGGCCCUAAUUCACUAUAUGUCACAUCUUUUCCUUGUGACAUAAUUUAAGUCCUUCUACAUUUUUAAUUUUUAGUAUUUGCAUCCUAGUUUUUAGAAAAAAACACUUGAGGUGUAAUAUAAUUAGGAUCCAUUUUCAUAUACUCCAUGGAAGUGUUAUUGAACACAAAGCUAAGGUUCAAUGAUCCAACUAAGUUUCUACAGUAAAUAUUUUAAAGAAUCACAUCUCAAAUUUAGAACAAGGGAUUGUUCAAUUCAGGAGAUAUGCAUUAUCGCCAUGAUAAAAGAUCAGAUCCAAAAGACAUAUAGAGAAGUACAACAAGUUAAUAUUACCUAUACAAUUGCUAUUAAAUUGUUAGGCCCUGCAGGUUUCUAGGUAAUCCAUGGAGAAAAUAUAGGGCAACAUUUAUGACUUAAGCAGCAUGUAGAGAAGUUUUGUUUAUUUGAUCGUGUCUUUGUUUGGUUUAGUUGUUUUAAUCUUCAAAACAUCUGUUAGAUGUAUAUUAUCUAACAUAAUUUAGCUGAGGAAACCAUGUUAAAACUAAGAUGCUAGAGUUAUUAUUGAGUUAGCCAUAUAUGAGUAUCCAGUUAGUGGGUUUAAUUAUAGACGUUAUUUUAAUUCAAUUAGUUACUAAUAGAAGCCUUGGAAAUAGUUUGGCUCAUAGCUAUUCAGAAGCACAUAUUGUCUUUUUCCUGGCUGUACAUUCUGUCCAUAUCACAGAAUCAGGAGGCCACAUCACAGAACUAGGUGAGAGGGUUUGAAAUAAACUUUGAGACAAGUGGGCUUGGAGAUUGAGGUAUUAUUGUCAAAUCCCUUCUCCAGAGCUGUUUUUUCCAUAAGGCUGCAUGUGAUUUUUCUAAUAUUAUACAUACCCAUAAGAAAUCUAAGACUAUAACACUGAUAUAUAUUUUCAUAACCAAUCUGUAUGUACCUUCAGAUAGAAGUAGAAAACCUGAAAUGAUUAACCAUUAUAUUUUCUAUUUUGAAAGAUAUCACAUUGUAAACAAUAUAAGUACUUGCAACCAAGAGGCCAUUAAAGAGAGAAGUAUGAAACCAAAAGAAAGAGUAUCUGGGUUUUUGGGCAGAAAUCAGGGCAGUUCUUAGUUUUAAGACAAGGAAGUCCCAAGAAUAUGGGGACUCUUCUAUCCCAGUUACGGUAAGCAUGCCCAUAGAGAUGGCAGGACCCAAUAUAUUUCUUAAUUCAUUUUCUAUUCUAGGACACAAAGCCAAGGGGUUUUCUCAGUAUAGAAAAAAUAAACUUUUAUAGGAAACAUUUCCACGCUUUUUGUGACUCUUCUGAGGUAGAACCAUGUACUUACUGAUUGGCAGAGCAUGUGUGUAUGCAGAGGCCUCGAGAGGGAAAACUAGGAAUGGCUACUUAAUUAACAUUUUCAGGUUGAAUCAAGAAAGCCCCUUACCUGGAGGUCAAACUCUGAGCAAAAAAAGGGGAGGAGAGGAAAGACAGUCAAAGGAUGACUGUCCAAGAGGCAUAUAGCCCUUCCAGGCUCAUUAAGGUCAUGAGUAAUUUUAAUAAAUGUGAACUAGGUAAGUCUGCUUUUAGAUCUCAUGUUACUAAUGAAUUUCAUUUUCCCAUCUUGUAUGUCUGCACAGAACAUUUGUAUGGUUAACCUUAAAUGUUCGGCUUUUUUCCUUGCCCAGAUAGCUUCCAAAUAAUUGAUAUGUGGGCUUAUAAAUUUAUUCACUAAAUUUUAAGCACAAUGACUGAACAUAUAUCCCUAUCCCUCUAUACUAUCUUAGAAUAGUCACAAGCCAUAUGCCCUGAGUUACUUGUAUCUAGUCUCUACUUGGUUCACUCUGUUCUAGCUCUCUAUCCUCAUGGAGAAAUCCCUUGGUGAAUUUUCCUCAUGCCUGCCCUCAUGGUGACCUAUGUUGACUUCCUCUACCCCUUGGACCAUCUCCUCCUGGAUCCUAAUCUGCCUCAUGGUGAAUUUCUUCCAUCUGGCUCUUCUCCCUGGGAUUCCAGGCUAGAAUGGAAAGUCCAGCCUCGAUAAUUCUGCUGCCCAUAAAUUUGCUUUUCAUCUUGUAAUUAACCAAUCAGAUGUAAUUUGGGAACAUUCUAUACAUAAUACCCAUAUAGGUCACUCUUCAAUAUUCAUGACAAUGCCCAUCUGGAUAUUGUCAGCAUCUGCAUACACAGAGCUGUAUAAAAGAAAGACCAAUUCCCAACAUCUUUUAGAUUUCUGAUGCAGCUUAAUAUGACAUGUGGUAGUGUUGCAGUUUGUUGCAGUUUCCUCUCCAACCCGAAGCAGCCAGUACAAAGAAAACACAACUCAAUUAAUAUGAAAACAAUCUAGCGUCUAGAUUGGGCAGUCCACCCUACACUGUCCUAUUCCUAGCUCCCAAAUCCCUCAUCCCUGCACCUUUUAUUUUAUUUGCACCAUCUCCAGCAUCUCCUUCUCCCACAACAACUCUCUCCUCCCUUCUUUCCUUUCUCCUCCCCUCAUUCCUCCCCCUCCUGACUUCUCUGCCUCCUGACUCCUCCCCUCUCCUGACUCCUCCCCUCUCCUGACUCCUCCCCUCUCCUGACUCCUCCCCUCUCACCCCUGACUGCUCCAUCUGCCCAAAUCUCGAGUUCUUGCCUUUAUUUACAAAUUCAGAGAGAACUCCAAGGCAAACCACAACAUGGUAGAAAAGAAAAAAAAAAAAAAAAAACUAUGAACAGAAGCUACACUUUAUUAAAAAUAGAAAGGCACCAACACUCCCUGUCAAGAAAGCAUCACUGCUUUGGUCAGGGUUGAAAAGUGUUUCUUCAAGGUCUAUUCCAACAACCCUAAGCAGGAUUUCAGAAGUCCUAUAUUCAAGGUCAUAUACCUAGUUAAAAAUCCUUCAGAAGAACUUAUAUGCUGGGUCACCCCAGCAACCCUCAUGUGAGAAGUGACUUCUCUAACAUUCCCUAGUACCUGUGGAAUUGGCAGUCACUUAGAACCUCCAAUAACUAAGAGAAAUAGGAUGAUUGUGUUCCCACAGACCAGUGGGUUCAAUAAUGGCGGUGUAGAGAUUUCUUAUGCCUAAUUCUGGAAGGAGACUUUUACCGGGGACAGGAGAUCAAUGAUGAAGUCUAUCUUUCUGGGUUAGUAGGCAAGAGGAAAUUUUGCUGUAGAUAAAGCUGUAAAGGUCAGUGUGGACAGUCCUGCCAGUUCUGACUACUGUCUCUUCUCACUCCAUCUUGGAUUUUGGUCCAUGUACAAACAGGUAAUUGUGGCCAUUUGAGAAUAUGCUGUCUGUAGGAAGGAGAACUUGUUCAAAUUUCUCUAGUGUUUUAACUAAUCUAUCACCCCAAGACCUGGAUCCCAUUGAAGUCUUAUAGUAACAGGAAAAGAAUGACUUAGAAAAGUAAAAGAUACAACUUGAAUCCUGCCUUUGCUAAAGAUCAAUGGAAAGUCCCUGAGCCAGCAUGUAGAUAUUACUUUUAUUUCUGUUCAAGUGUAUGAAGGUGUUCAUCAAAAACUUUUCAACAAUGAAACUGCUAGAAUUACAGAAAAGCUUCAGUAAACAAAGAACUCUCACAGCCUGGCCUGCAUGUUCACUGGAUAUGGGGACAGAUUGCAUCAGUGUGUGAGCUGUGGAACCAGAUAAACUGAGCAAUAUAUCCUCAUUUCUCCCUUUGGACAUAGUCUUCAUAAAAGGGGACAAUAGACGAAAUCUCAGAGGAUUGAACUGAGAGAAUCGUUAAGGACAUCUCAUUUAGCUGCAAGUACUCCAAGGGUUCAUUCUUGACAUAUUGUACAGUUGUGAGACUUUAUGUUAUUUCCUAUCUAGUACAAGUAAAAGCUUUGUUGAUGAUUUUUGAAAAAUAUGCUUAUUUAUGGGAGUCAAUUUAUUACUGGAUUACUUUAGCAAAAUAAUACUAUCAGGUUUUCCACUAGGCUCCUGUCACAUCUAUUAUCAGGUUUUUGUCAUAUUAACAAUGUUCUUUAUUAGUUCUUCUUUAUGGAUUACAUCAUAAAUGCAUAAAAAUGAAUGAUUACUUCAAUGACUUUUGUGCAAGGAGUUCAUGAGGCAUACCACUAUUGUAGGUUGUGUCAUUUGUAACUGGGUAGUAUUGAUGAAUUCUUCUUUCUACCAGUUAUGUGUAGAGUAUCUCCCAAUACCAGGAUUUCUAGUCAGUAAUAGUGAAGCUUCUAAUUUGCCACCAGCUCAGUUUCUCUGCAUCUCAUCUCAUAAAUAAGCUACAUUUCUAGUAAGAGACCUCACAGUUAAGGUGUAUAGAGUAGCAGAUAUCCUAGGCUGUAGCCUUUGAUUGCUGUAGAGUCUAUGAGACCGCAUUAAUGAAAGAUUUAGGAAAUAACACACUUCCAGUACUGAACAUUUUACUUGGUGGCCUAAAUGUUUGGUUGAGGACUGUCCCCUUUUAUAAGGUGAAUUCACUAAAUUCCGUACUUAAAUGUAUACAUUUUAGGACAUUUAAGUAUUUUUCAUGGUUCAUACAUGAACAUAUGAUCUAACUAUUACUUACAUCAUUUCAUCUUUCAUCCACAGCUCCUAUCAGAUAUGUCAUAUUUGAUUUCAAAUUCUAGGCAUAUUGUUAUGCAUUUUCUAACCAUGUAAUAUAAUUACAUAUAUAUAUGUAUGAAAUAUAAUUAUAUAUAUAUAUAAUGACUAUUGGAUUCAACAAGUGUUGAUCACAAAUACACACACACAAACAUAUGCAUUGUGUUUUGUGUGUGUGUGUGUGUGUGUGUGUGUAUUUGUUUGCCCACUUGUAUGUUUCUGUUUAGUGCUGAAUUCUUCAGAUAUUGUGUUCCUUCAAAGACUAAUUCUAGAACAAGAUCGAUUGUCCAUUUCUUAAAACCCAUUGCUAUCUGUAGCUGUUCAGGUAGCCUUUAAUUUUCCCCAUAUUUCCAAUGACAUUUAAACUUGGAGUCUCGUCAUAUCAUUCAAUUUUAGCAAAGUUAAUGAUGGAAAUUUCAUGGAUACAGCUUCUCUGUCAUAUACAGAACACAUACAGGUGUUUCUCAUUAGCAGGCAUACUAUUCCUUUGGAUUUAUAUUUUUCCAUUUCUUCCUCAAUACUUUUUAUUUGAGUGCUGAUGAUGCUUUUAAAUUUAACAACUGACAUUAGGCAUACCACAGUCAGUUGAAUUUUGACCAGUGGUAUAAUGUAAUGGUCUCUUUCUGCUACAAAAUGAAGAUAUUUUCCUGAUGGUAAGUUUUAUACUAAUCUGCAGGUAUAUUUAGAAUGUGAUUAUAAUUAACACUGAUUCAGAAAAUUGGUCACUAUAGGAUUUUUCCAAUAUUGAUUAUCUUACUGCCUUUGGAUAGUUUGCUAAGUUUGUAGUGUUUGGCAUAAUUUAUUUCCUUGACCAUAUAAUAAAACUACUAUUGUACACAUUACAUUCUAUCUUGAACAAUUUCUGUGUUGCUUUGAAUCACUAAACUCUAUUACCAUGGUGAGAGCUAUUAUUUGGAAAAUGACACUUGAGGGAAGUUAGUAAAAUAUUGAUGUUUAUCUACAUAUUUUGUAGCACACUUAUCUUUAGUGUUCACUUCAACAGAGUAUGGUGGUAAGAAGUAAACAAAAUAUAAAGAUAACAGACAUAGGGGACUCUCCUUCUGACUUUAAUAUUGUAAGGAAUUCUCAAAUCGACGUUAUUGGCAAUGACAGUAAAUGUGACUAUUUUGUUAGAAACUUGUCUGUCUUACAUGUGAUACAGAAUGUAGUGCAAAGUCCUCUGUGCUUCUGUUAUUCUAUUACUUUGUGACUCACAACAGAAUAGCACAGACACAUUCUUAUUUCCUGAAACUUCAGAGAGCCAACAUUUAACCUUUAAGACUAGCUCAGAGACACUAUUCAGUGUUGUGGCACAAAGGUAUUUCUAGGAUAUAUAGAAUGUAUAUUCUUGUGGUCCUUGAAUUAUCUUUAAUGGGUUACUUUUUCAUUUAAGCACAAAUAUGCCUGGGCCUGAUGGUGGCCUUCUGAGUUUAUUUCUAGAAUAUACCAGUAAAAGUCAAAGCUGAGUGCUUUGGGCAUGAAAUCCCAGGGCAUGGAGUUAAGAUUCUUGAGUUUUGCUGGCCAGUCUACCUACAUUAUUUAGUCCGUUUUAGUGAAUAUAAUGGUAUAAAAUGAACCAAAGUUAGUAGGCACAGCAGUAGAGUUGUACUCAUGAGCUGCAAGCAGUUGAAUCUGCAUAUACAAGACUUGUACCAGACCAAGGUAGCUAAAAUCUAAGCAUGGCUUGGGCAAUCCUCAUGAAGUCCCAUUCUAUUUUAGUUAUCCUUGACAUUUGAUGGACUUCUGGAGAAUGGAGAAUUUGUUUUCUUCAGUAAUGUUUGGACUCAGUAGAUAUCCAGCUUUCAUUAGAGAUCCAUAUAUCCUUGAUCACAUACAUAGCCCUAAAUCAACAAGUUGGUAUUAAGAAGACAGUGAGACUGGGCUCCACAAACCUAUGGUUUGACUGUUUAGGACUUUCUGAAAUUAUUGUAUUUUACAGUGAAGAGUUUCUUUAUGAGUGGAGAAGACUAAAUUUAUCUUUGCAUAUUCAGACAAAUGUUUAUACAUUGUUGCUUGAUUAGAAUAAUAUACAAUUUUUUGUUAUAUUGGAUUGUAUUGUGACUAUAUUGGAUUAGUAAAUUUAUGGUUAGAAUUCUCCAUUAUGCAUAACUUCAGAAGCAUCAAGUAGUUAACUAGCUUUCCAGUACUAGUCAUGGCCUUCCUCUGUUUGAACAGGGCAUAAAUGCAAUUAGAGUAGCAUUGGAUGCCACACAGUUAUGUAUUGUACCACUGAACACUUAAGGUUAUUGUGCUAUAUUGUUUAUUGAUGUGGUUUAUAGCCACCAUAACUGUGUAUGUCUUUUGAUUUCCUUUUUAAUUUGGAAGUUGCACAUUAUUUCUGUUGGUUUGUUUGUUUGUUCAAGGGUUUUAGCCACAUACUUCUUUUUUUAUAUUUCUUUCAUUUAUUCACUUUACAUCCCAAUUGCUGCCCCCAUCUUCCCAGUUCCCCCUCACAGUCCCCUCACUCCUGACUUUAACCUCUGAGAAGGUGGAGGUUCCUCCUGGGGAGUCAACCCACCCUGGCUCCUUAAGUCAUUAGUUCUUUCUCUAGAAACACCAAUAGGUCCAGAUUAUUUGGCUUUGCUGGUGUUUUUUGGUGUCCCUAUCCUCUCCAGUUUCUUCAAUACUUUCUCAAACUUUUUCACAAGUGUUUUUGUUUGAUCUAAUGUUUGGCUGUGGGGGUCUGCAUCCAUUUUGGUCAGCUGUUGGGCAGAGCCUCUCAGAGAACAGUUAUGCUAGCUAGCUUCCUCUGAAAAAGCAUGACAGAGUACCAUUAAGAGAGCAUGUCAGUUACAGAGGUGAAUGCUAGCAGCAAACCACUGAAUUAAGAAUGAGACUCUCGAUGGAGGACUUAGAGAAAGGAUUGAAAGAGCUGAAGGAGCUUGCAACCCCAUAAGAACAACAAUGUCAACCAACCAGAGCUCCCAGGUACUAAACGGCUACCAAAAGACUCCAUGGCUCAAACUGCAUAUGUAGCAGAGGAAGGCUGUGUUGGGCACCAAUGGAAGGAGAAGCCCUUGGUCCUGCCAAGGUUGAACCCCUAGUGUAGGGGAAUGUUGUGGUUGUGGCUGGAAGCGGGAUAGAUAUGGAGGGAAACACCCUUACAGAAGAAGGGGAGGAGGGUUGGAUAAAGGGCUUAUGUCUGGGAAACCGGGAAAGGGAACAAAUGAAAAAAAAAAAAACAAAUAAAAUGGGGGCAGGACCAGUUUGGUUGUUACCCAAGGGAAAGAUCUCCUGUUGGGCCAGGCAUUGGUCUGUCUUUCUCCCAGUCGCUGUGACAUCUGUGUUCCUGCACUUCUUGUAGAUAAGACAUAUUUGGGGUUGAAAUUUUUAUUGGUGAGGUAGUCCAAUUAUACAUUCAGAGGGAAUCCUGCCUGGCUACAGAAGGAUGCCACUUUAGGGUCCAUAUCCCUCACUGCUGUAAGGUCUUAGGUACAGUCACCCUCGUAGACUCCCAAAGUCCUCUCACAAUUCCAGGUUCCAAGUUCAUAAUAGAUAUAUCCACAGCCUAGUCUCACACCUAAUGUUCAUGGUAUAAUAAAGUGAAGUAGCAAAAAAAAUUGCAAUACCCAAGUGAUCAGGGGGUGUUGUCAUAAUAAUAUUUCUACUAAUAAUAUUAGAAGUUCCAUCAAUUACCUGACCUUUCAAAACUGAGCUAAACUUUAUGAAAAACAAUCCACUAGGACUAAACCAUGCUCAACGAACAAUAGGCAUCUGAGGAAACAUGGAAAAGGAAGAUGUAACUAUUCUCAGGGGAGAUCACAUCAAUUAUUUGUGUUUUCAGAAAAUUCAGCUUUGAAAAUCGACAUCAAGGUAACAUUAAACUUACUGAUUAUGUUAUAUUCAGGAAUAUAUAUGUAUUUACAUAUAUACAUGCAACAAAAUUAGUAAAAGGGGCCAUAAAUUUGAAAGAUAUUGUGGUAUAGCUUAUGGGAAGUUUAAAGAAAGGGAAAGAAGACAUUUAAUUAACUUAUAAUCAUAAAAAUAAGAAAGUCACACAUGCAUUCUUCACACACACACACACACUCACAUACACAGCAUCAGAUAAGAGACAAAGGCAGAUAAACAAUUAUGGACAUAUCUUGAAAGAGUUUUUCAUAAUAAAUAUAAAUGUUAAAUGAUUUCUUUAGCAUGAUUAUACUUUAAGCUAUUCCAUGUUCUUUGGAUAUAUUAAUUUAAUAGGUAUAGAACACCUCAUUUCAUUUUCAUUUUCAUUUUUGAAAACUAAUCAGAUCUUUCUAACGAUCAAGUUAUUUUUUUCUAAUCAUUUCUAAUAGUUAAAGUUUAUAAAAUAGAUAUCUUUCCAAUCAUUCUAAUAAAGUUCUAAUCCAGUGUGAUGGCUCAUGUUCAUAACUGUAGCACUUAUAAACAGUGGCACAGCUGGGUAGAAAAUGUCAGGAGCAGCUGUACCUGGCAGCUCAAAAAUCACAAUCAGCAGGGCCCAAACAGACAAAUAUGCCUCCUUGUAGAUGGGCAGAAUCUAUGCCCAAGCUACUAAAUACAUACUAAGACCACACACACCUCUGCCUAUUCUUGUCCUUUGUCCAGUGGAACCAUAGUCCAUGUGUUACAUUUAUUUAAUCUUUCUCAUUUCACUCUCCCUGAUCCUGCUGUAGCAAACAGGGAGGAGGAGAUAUACAUACAAGCUUUUAUAGAAAUCUCUCUAUUUACAGCAAGUUCUUGAUUUACAUAACUGGUUUUGAGAUCUCCCACUUGAUUGGUCCUAAACCCGUUCUUGUUAUGAAUGCACACACUCAACCAAUCUGAGACAAAUGGAGCUAAGUUCCUGAACACCGGGUUGGUGCCAGUCAGGCUCCUGGCUGAAUUCCAGCUCUCAGCUAGUUCCAGGCUGUAGCCAGGAAUGGACUACAUCCUACUUAGCAGUGAAGGAGGACCAUUAUUAAGAUGUGCCAGGAAACAGCCAAUGGAUUUCCAGCUGAGACAGGAACUUGCUAAGAGACUCCACACUCCUGCUGAAUUACUUGCUUUUAUUUCCUGUUUAGGAAAUGUGCUUGGGCUUCCUAAUCCACUGCUCUUUAAAAUAUACUUCUCACAAGGGCUACCAGAGACUGAAGUACUAGUCAUGGAGCCUGCAUUCAUCUGUGCUAGGACCUUAGCAAACUUCUGUUUGCUUAGCUUGGGGGUUUUGUGGGAUUGCCCACGGUCAGUGUAGGGAUGUCUUUGACUAUUUUGUUACCUUCUCUUGGGACUUGUUUUCUCCUCCUGGGUUGACUCAUUCAGCCAUAAUAUGAAGUUUAUUUUUCCUAGUGUUAUUGCAUCUUGUUAUACCCUGUUUUGUUGAUAUCACUGGAAAGUUUGCUCUUUUCUGAAGUUAAAAGUAGGAACAGUUGUUCAAUAGGAGAUGGGAAAUGGGGAGGAGGUUACUGAGAGGAGUGGAGGGAGCAGAGGUUGCAAGUAGGAUGCAUUGUUUGAGAGAAGUGUAAAUUAAUAUAUCUAUAUCUAUAUCUAUCAAUAUCUAUCUGUCUAUCAUCUAUCUAUCUAUCUAUCUAUCUAUCUAUCUAUCUAUCUAUCUAUCUAUCUAUGUUUGGAUUUUGGCCUUAUCUGCCAUAAGUAUGAUUUUUCUCAACCUUCAGUUUAUAAUACUGACAGGAGAGCUUCUGUUCCCCAUAUUCCAUUCAUGGACCUACUAUGAGGAGAACUACUAUCUAUAUAUAUCUUUAAUCUGGCAACCUAGAACUAUGAGAGAAAAGUCAGAGCUGAAGCAUUGACUGACCUUUUUAUAAGUGGUUUUCUUUUUAUUGAAGAUAGAUUUUAUUUCAUAUAAUAUAUAAAGAUUAUGGUUUCACUUAACCGAAUUUCUUUAAGAUCAUCCCAUAUCCCCACCCACAUAACCUACAGUUUUUCCUUCUCUUUCUAAUGAGAAUAUAGACAUAUAUUUAAUAAUAAUAAUAGUAAUAAUAAUAAUAACAAUAACGACAGUAUAAACCAAAUCAAAAUAAGACAAAAGAAAGAAACAAACAAGAAAAAUAGCCAAAAGAAAAUCAGAAUAGACACAUACCAAUGAAAAGGCAUACAUAUUCACACAAAAUUAAGUGGCAAAAAACACAAA